GAUGUGCAGUGAGGUGGUGUUCUCGAAUGGUUCCGCUAGAAGUGGCUUGGCAAUUACACUUAUUCCAGGACCUUCUUGCCUUGAACAAUGAUGGGACAAACCAAAAAUGGUGCCAAAAGUUUAUUUGAAAAGCGAGGGGAGAAACUGGCUCUGCAGAGUGAACUUGGGCCAAACAAAAAGAGGAGAAGAGGAAAAAGAACAAAAGGAGAAGGACACUCUGAUCUAGAAGACAUAGAGGUCAGCCCAGUGCAUCAGAGGAGACCAGCAACAGCUUGUGGCCCUCUGGUAGGCCAACCCCUCUGGCCUAGUGAGGCAGAGGAGUCCAGCUGCGCAGGUGCCAACACAGUGGUGUUCGUGCUCCCACCUCUCUGAACAAGAGAAAGAAGGACUCUCUGAGGCUCCUAGAUGAAAAUUGAAGCCCACUGGAAAAAUGAAGAAAAUCUCUGUGAUAAAGGCACA
This 459-nucleotide long non-coding RNA is filed under the name Fukomys damarensis (Damara mole-rat). RNAcentral's name for it is "lncRNA (ENSFDAG00000030015.1)". The record is from RNAcentral. Lineage: Eukaryota; Metazoa; Chordata; Mammalia; Rodentia; Bathyergidae.